GCGGGAAUGGCUUCGGGUUCGACAAUACAACAUUUAGAUUGUAACGUUUUUUUUUUGGUGUCUGUUUUUUUGUGAAAGAUCCAGUUAAAGGAGCUGUGGUGAUAAAAUUUUCCAACACAAAAGAAAAAGACAUGGAAGCAGUAAUCAAAGACUGGCUGAAGUCUUCAAAAAUUCGGUUUACCGGCAAAGAGGAAUCUAAAAAUGUACAAACACCGGAUCCUGGAGGAAAAUCUGAAUGCUUCAAAAAUUGUGAUUGAAAUGAGGUGCAGUAACAUAAACCGGUAUGUAGCUCAAAAAUUGCUACUUCAAACAGGAAGAGAAUAGAGUAAUCUGGAGCACCACAAUAAGGACCUUUCUUCAUAGAUAAAUGACAUUCAUAUGAGUUAUUUUAAUAAACAACUUUUCAAAUUAUGUAUGUCUUAACUA
Molecule: long non-coding RNA, 426 nt
Organism: Nilaparvata lugens (brown planthopper)
Lineage: Eukaryota; Metazoa; Arthropoda; Insecta; Hemiptera; Delphacidae
Exons: 3
Source: RefSeq, a predicted model, not a curated record